AAACUAACAAGGAUUCCCCUAGUAACGGCGAGCGAAGCGGGAAGAGCUCAAAUUUGAAAGCUGGCACCUCCGGUGUCCGCGUUGUAAUCUCGAGACGUGUUUUCCGUGUGGCGCUAUGGACAAGUCCCUUGGAACAGGGCAUCGUAGAGGGUGAAAAUCCCGUACUUGCCAUGGAUGUACCAUGCUUUGUGAUACACGCUCUAAGAGUCGAGUUGUUUGGGAUUGCAGCUCAAAAUGGGUGGUAGACUCCAUCUAAAGCUAAAUAUCGGGGAGAGACCGAUAGCGAACAAGUACCGUGAGGGAAAGAUGAAAAGCACUUUGGAAAGAGAGUUAAAAGUACGUGAAAUUGUCGAAAGGGAAGCGCUUGAAGUCAGCCAUGCUGCUUGAGACUCAGCCUUGCUUUUGCUUGGUGUAUUUCUCGGUAGCAAGCCAGCAUUGGUUUGAGUCGUCGGAGAAGGGUACGAGAAAUGUGGCAUCCUCGGAUGUGUUAUAGGCUUGUACUGGAUACGACGAUUUGGAUCAAGGAACGCAGUGUGCCUCUGGCGGGUCUUCGGACACCUUCACACUUAGGAUGCUGGCGUAAUGGCUUUAAGCGG
This 596-nucleotide ribosomal RNA is filed under the name Malassezia pachydermatis. Its description in RNAcentral is "partial large subunit ribosomal RNA". It matches the Rfam family "Eukaryotic large subunit ribosomal RNA", at positions 62 to 647 of the family's 3401-position model. The record is from RNAcentral. Lineage: Eukaryota; Fungi; Basidiomycota; Malasseziomycetes; Malasseziales; Malasseziaceae.